UACGGAGGGCGCGAGCGUUACCCGGAUUUACUGGGCGUAAAGGGCGUGUAGGCGGCCUGGGGCGUCCCAUGUGAAAGGCCACGGCUCAACCGUGGAGGAGCGUGGGAUACGCUCAGGCUAGACGGUGGGAGAGGGUGGUGGAAUUCCCGGAGUAGCGGUGAAAUGCGCAGAUACCGGGAGGAACGCCGAUGGCGAAGGCAGCCACCUGGCCCACAUGUGACGCUGAGGCGCGAAAGCCAGGGGCGCGAACCGG
This 253-nucleotide ribosomal RNA is filed under the name uncultured bacterium. Its description in RNAcentral is "partial 16S ribosomal RNA". It matches the Rfam family "Bacterial small subunit ribosomal RNA", at positions 524 to 776 of the family's 1533-position model. The record is from RNAcentral.